GGCCUCUCUCCCAUGGGGCUCUGUGCAUCCCUUUUCUCCUCAGCCAGGGUUGGAGGCCAAGAUCGGCUCUCAAGGAUCAUUGUCAGGGCUGACUUGGGCUGGCAGCCUUAUUUUCCUGCCUCAGACAUGU
Molecule: non-coding RNA, 130 nt
Organism: Hyaena hyaena (striped hyena)
Lineage: Eukaryota; Metazoa; Chordata; Mammalia; Carnivora; Hyaenidae
Source: RefSeq, a predicted model, not a curated record